GGGGGGUGGCGAAAGUCACCCCUUGUUUGUAAUGUGGCCUAAAUUUUUAUUUAGAACGUUCCAAGCCGUUAAAACACAGAGGACAAA
Molecule: non-coding RNA, 87 nt
Filed under: unclassified sequences
Source: RNAcentral